This 1316-nucleotide ribosomal RNA is filed under the name Melanconiella spodiaea. Its description in RNAcentral is "eukaryotic LSU rRNA". It matches the Rfam family "Eukaryotic large subunit ribosomal RNA", at positions 69 to 1414 of the family's 3401-position model. The record is from RNAcentral. Lineage: Eukaryota; Fungi; Ascomycota; Sordariomycetes; Diaporthales; Melanconiellaceae.
CAGGGAUUGCCCUAGUAACGGCGAGUGAAGCGGCAACAGCUCAAAUUUGAAAUCUGGCCUCGGCCCGAGUUGUAAUUUGCAGAGGAUGCUUCUGGCGCGGUGCCUUCCGAGUUCCCUGGAACGGGACGCCACAGAGGGUGAGAGCCCCGUAUGGUCGGACACCAAGCCUGUGUGAAGCUCCUUCGACGAGUCGAGUAGUUUGGGAAUGCUGCUCAAAAUGGGAGGUAAAUCUCUUCUAAAGCUAAAUACUGGCCAGAGACCGAUAGCGCACAAGUAGAGUGAUCGAAAGAUGAAAAGCACCUUGAAAAGGGGGUUAAACAGUACGUGAAAUUGUUGAAAGGGAAGCGCUUGUGACCAGACUUGCGCCGGGCGGCUCAUCAGGGGUUCUCCCCUGUGUACUCCGCCCGGUUCAGGCCAGCAUCGGUUCUCGCCGGGGGAUAAGAACGGUGGGAACGUGGCCCUCCCUCGGGGGGGUGUUAUAGCCCGCCGUACGAUAUCCUGGCGGGGACCGAGGUUCGCGCUCCGCAAGGAUGCUGGCGUAAUGGUCAUCAGCGACCCGUCUUGAAACACGGACCAAGGAGUCGUCCAUUAGAGCGAGCGUUUGGGUGUAAAACCCGCACGCGUAAUGAAAGUGAAAUUAGGUGAGAGCUUCGGCGCAUCAUCGACCGAUCCUGAUGUUCUCGGAUGGAUUUGAGUAAGAGUUUUAACGGACGGACCCGAAAGACAGUGAACUAUGCUUGUAUAGGGUGAAGCCAGAGGAAACUCUGGUGGAGGCUCGCAGCGGUUCUGACGUGCAAAUCGAUCGUCAAAUAUGAGCAUGGGGGCGAAAGACUAAUCGAACUGUCUAGUAGCUGGUUACCGCCGAAGUUUCCCUCAGGAUAGCAGUGUUGACCUUCAGUUUUAUGAGGUAAAGCGAAUGAUUAGGGACUCGGGGGCACUAUUUAGCCUUCAUCCAUUCUCAAACUUUAAAUAUGUAAGAAGCCCUUGUUACUUAAUUGAACGUGGGCAUUCGAAUGUAGCAACACUAGUGGGCCAUUUUUGGUAAGCAGAACUGGCGAUGCGGGAUGAACCGAACGCGGGGUUAAGGCGCCAGAGUGUACGCUCAUCAGACACCACAAAAGGCGUUAGUACAUCUUGACAGCAGGACGGUGGCCAUGGAAGUCGGAAUCCGCUAAGGACUGUGUAACAACUCACCUGCCGAAUGUACUAGCCCUGAAAAUGGAUGGCGCUCAAGCGUACCGCCCAUACCCCGCCCUCAGGGUAGAAACGAUGCCCUGAGGAGUAGGCGGCCGUGGGGGUUAGUGACGAAGCCUAGG